This 305-nucleotide ribosomal RNA is filed under the name uncultured bacterium. RNAcentral's name for it is "bacterial SSU rRNA". It matches the Rfam family "Bacterial small subunit ribosomal RNA", at positions 337 to 640 of the family's 1533-position model. The record is from RNAcentral.
GCCUACGGGGCGCAGCAGUGAGGAAUAUUGGUCAAUGGUCGGGAGACUGAACCAGCCAAGCCGCGUGAGGGAUGAAGGUACAGAGUAUCGUAAACCUCUUUUGUCAGGGAACAAAGGCGGGGACGUGUCCCCGGAUGAGUGUACCUGAAGAAAAAGCAUCGGCUAACUCCGUGCCAGCAGCCGCGGUAAUACGGAGGAUGCGAGCGUUAUCCGGAUUUAUUGGGUUUAAAGGGUGCGCAGGCGGUCUGUUAAGUCAGCUGUCAAAGCCCGGGGCUCAAGCCCGGCCCGCCGUUGAAACUGGCAGU